This 253-nucleotide ribosomal RNA is filed under the name uncultured bacterium. Its description in RNAcentral is "partial 16S ribosomal RNA". It matches the Rfam family "Bacterial small subunit ribosomal RNA", at positions 524 to 776 of the family's 1533-position model. The record is from RNAcentral.
GACGUAGGAGGCGAGCGUUGUCCGGAUUUAUUGGGCGUAAAGCGCGCGUAGGCGGCCCGUUAAGUCGGAUGUGAAAAUCCGGGGCUCAACCCCGGACCUGCAUUCGAUACUGCGGUGCUUGAGGACUGGAGAGGAGACUGGAAUUUACGGUGUAGCGGUGAAAUGCGUAGAUAUCGUAAGGAAGACCAGUGGCGAAGGCGGGUCUCUGGACAGUUCCUGACGCUGAGGCACGAAGGCCAGGGGAGCAAACGGG